This 253-nucleotide ribosomal RNA is filed under the name uncultured bacterium. RNAcentral describes it as "partial 16S ribosomal RNA". It matches the Rfam family "Bacterial small subunit ribosomal RNA", at positions 524 to 776 of the family's 1533-position model. The record is from RNAcentral.
UACAGGGGGGGCAAGCGUUGUUCGGAAUUACUGGGCGUAAAGGGCUCGUAGGCGGCCAACUAAGUCACACGUGAAAUCCCCAGGCUUAACCUGGGAACUGCAUCCGAUACUGGAUGGCUUGAAUCCGGGAGAGGGAUGCAGAAUUCCAGGUGUAGCGGUGAAAUGCGUAGAUAUCUGGAGGAAUACCGGUGGCGAAGGCGGCAUCCUGGACCGGCAUUGACGCUGAUGAGCGAAAGCUAGGGGAGCAAACGGG